Molecule: ribosomal RNA, 534 nt
Filed under: uncultured bacterium
Lineage: Bacteria
Description: bacterial SSU rRNA
Rfam family: Bacterial small subunit ribosomal RNA
Source: RNAcentral
AAUAGAUACCCAGGUAGUCCACGCCGUAAACGAUGAGUGCUAAGUGUUAGAGGGUUUCCGCCCUUUAGUGCUGCAGCUAACGCAUUAAGCACUCCGCCUGGGGAGUACGGCCGCAAGGCUGAAACUCAAAGGAAUUGACGGGGGCCCGCACAAGCGGUGGAGCAUGUGGUUUAAUUCGAAGCAACGCGAAGAACCUUACCAGGUCUUGACAUCCUCUGACCUCCCUGGAGACAGGGCCUUCCCCUUCGGGGGACAGAGUGACAGGUGGUGCAUGGUUGUCGUCAGCUCGUGUCGUGAGAUGUUGGGUUAAGUCCCGCAACGAGCGCAACCCUUGACCUUAGUUGCCAGCAUUCAGUUGGGCACUCUAAGGUGACUGCCGGUGACAAACCGGAGGAAGGUGGGGAUGACGUCAAAUCAUCAUGCCCCUUAUGACCUGGGCUACACACGUGCUACAAUGGAUGGUACAAAGGGCUGCGAGACCGCGAGGUUAAGCCAAUCCCAGAAAACCAUUCCCAGUUCGGAUUGCAGGCUGCC